GAGAGGGCUGGGUCCUUAGGGUCUCACAGGGUCAAAAUGGAGGCAGAUGCUGGAUGGCGCGCUUAUCUGGACGUCCUUGAGAAGAAGAAUCAGCUUUCGACCUCCUUCAGGCUGUUGACAGAAUUCAGAUCCUGUGGCUGGUGAGGACGGAGGACCCCUUCCUUGCUGGCUGUCAGACCAGGCAAUUUGAAAGGAAGAGAGGAUUUAGGCGCCAUACUCAAGGUUACCUGGGUAAGAAAUGAUGGAGCAAGAAUGUCACCCAUGGGACCACACCCCUGAAUCUAUAAAUUGGAGUGUUUCUGCAAAUUCUAAGAGGUUCUUAACAUUAUCCAGAAUGGUGCCCUGGUGGACGAUCAUGCACCUUG
RNAcentral lists this long non-coding RNA (365 nucleotides) under Homo sapiens (human). RNAcentral's name for it is "HSALNT0337127". Lineage: Eukaryota; Metazoa; Chordata; Mammalia; Primates; Hominidae. The record is from RNAcentral.